Molecule: unclassified non-coding RNA, 225 nt
Filed under: Scapania sphaerifera
Lineage: Eukaryota; Viridiplantae; Streptophyta; Jungermanniopsida; Jungermanniales; Scapaniaceae
Description: partial contains tRNA-Leu, trnL-trnF intergenic spacer, and tRNA-Phe
Source: RNAcentral
UUUUUAUAUAUUUAUAUAUAUAUAUAAGGAUAAAGAUAGAGUCCAUUUUUACACGCUAUGUUUGGCAACGAUGUAAGUCAUUGUAAAAAGAAAAUCCGUUGGCUUUUUAGACCGUGAGGGUUCAAGUCCCUCUACCCCCAUUGAAAUUCAAUAUCUUUCAAUAUUGACAUAAAAUUUACUUUCAUGUUAAUAUUUUCCAUGAUAAAAGUGCCGGGAUAGCUCCGU